This 990-nucleotide ribosomal RNA is filed under the name Vibrio campbellii. Its description in RNAcentral is "bacterial SSU rRNA". It matches the Rfam family "Bacterial small subunit ribosomal RNA", at positions 82 to 1068 of the family's 1533-position model. Lineage: Bacteria; Pseudomonadati; Pseudomonadota; Gammaproteobacteria; Vibrionales; Vibrionaceae. The record is from RNAcentral.
AUAACGGCGUCGAGCGGCGGACGGGUGAGUAAUGCCUAGGAAAUUGCCCUGAUGUGGGGGAUAACCAUUGGAAACGAUGGCUAAUACCGCAUAAUGCCUACGGGCCAAAGAGGGGGACCUUCGGGCCUCUCGCGUCAGGAUAUGCCUAGGUGGGAUUAGCUAGUUGGUGAGGUAAGGGCUCACCAAGGCGACGAUCCCUAGCUGGUCUGAGAGGAUGAUCAGCCACACUGGAACUGAGACACGGUCCAGACUCCUACGGGAGGCAGCAGUGGGGAAUAUUGCACAAUGGGCGCAAGCCUGAUGCAGCCAUGCCGCGUGUGUGAAGAAGGCCUUCGGGUUGUAAAGCACUUUCAGUCGUGAGGAAGGUAGUGUAGUUAAUAGCUGCAUUAUUUGACGUUAGCGACAGAAGAAGCACCGGCUAACUCCGUGCCAGCAGCCGCGGUAAUACGGAGGGUGCGAGCGUUAAUCGGAAUUACUGGGCGUAAAGCGCAUGCAGGUGGUUUGUUAAGUCAGAUGUGAAAGCCCGGGGCUCAACCUCGGAAUUGCAUUUGAAACUGGCAGACUAGAGUACUGUAGAGGGGGGUAGAAUUUCAGGUGUAGCGGUGAAAUGCGUAGAGAUCUGAAGGAAUACCGGUGGCGAAGGCGGCCCCCUGGACAGAUACUGACACUCAGAUGCGAAAGCGUGGGGAGCAAACAGGAUUAGAUACCCUGGUAGUCCACGCCGUAAACGAUGUCUACUUGGAGGUUGUGGCCUUGAGCCGUGGCUUUCGGAGCUAACGCGUUAAGUAGACCGCCUGGGGAGUACGGUCGCAAGAUUAAAACUCAAAUGAAUUGACGGGGGCCCGCACAAGCGGUGGAGCAUGUGGUUUAAUUCGAUGCAACGCGAAGAACCUUACCUACUCUUGACAUCCAGAGAACUUUCCAGAGAUGGAUUGGUGCCUUCGGGAACUCUGAGACAGGUGCUGCAUGGCUGUCGUCAGCUCGUGUUGU